ACGGCUCAGUAACACGUGGACAACCUACCCUUAGGCCUGGGAUAAACCUGGGAAACUGGGUAUAAUACCGGAUAGGUCUCGAAUGCUGGAAUGCAUCGAGGCUUAAAGCUCCGGCGCCUAAGGAUGGGUCUGCGGCCUAUCAGGGUAGUAGUGGGUGUAAUGUACCUACUAGCCUACGACGGGUACGGGUCGUGAGAGCGAGAGCCCGGAGAUGGAUUCUGAGACACGAAUCCAGGCCCUACGGGGUGCAGCAGGCGCGAAAACUUUACAAUGCUGGAAACAGCGAUAGGGGGACUUUGAGUGCCAGGAUACAAUCUUGGCUGUCGUCGUGCCUAAAAAGCACGGCAUAGCAAGGGCCGGGCAAGACCGGUGCCAGCCGCCGCGGUAACACCGGCGGCUCGAGUGGUAACCGCUAUUAUUGGGUCUAAAGGGUCUGUAGCCGGCUGGAUAAGUCUCUUGGGAAAUCCGACAGCUUAACUGUCGGGCUGUCAGGAGAUACUGUCCGGCUCGAGACCGGGAGAGGUGAGAGGUACUUCAUGGGUAGGGGUGAAAUCUUGUAAUCCUUGAAGGACCACCAGUGGCGAGGGCGUCUCACCAGAACGGAUCUGACGGCAAGGGACGAAAGCUAGGGGCACGAACCGGAUUAGAUACCCGGGUAGUCCUAGCCGUAAACGAUACUCGCUAGGUGUCGGCCACGGUGCGACCGUGGUCGGUGCCGUAGGGAAGCCGUGAAGCGAGCCACCUGGGAGGUACGGCCGCAAGGCUGAAACUUAAAGGAAUUGGCGGGGGAGCAC
This 794-nucleotide ribosomal RNA is filed under the name uncultured archaeon. RNAcentral's name for it is "bacterial SSU rRNA". It matches the Rfam family "Archaeal small subunit ribosomal RNA", at positions 85 to 879 of the family's 1478-position model. The record is from RNAcentral.